CUGGCCGGCGAGUUAGGAGGGCGGCGGCAGGGCCUUCUCCUGUGGUGGCGUCCCCUCUUGGCGCGGGGGAGGCGGCGAACACCGGCGGCGGGGAGUGGCGGCGGCGAGCUCUCCGGGCAAGACGAUGACGGAUCUACGGUUGCUGUCACCGGAUCUGGCCUAGCCCAGCGGAAGCGGCCAGCGUUGUGGCGCAGCGCGAACGAAGGAGGUAUGGCUAGCGGCGGAGGGGCGCCCCUCUCUGGCAGCGGAGACGGCUCGCGAGGCCGGCGCGCGCGCCGACACACGCAAGCAGGGCGCGAGGCGUCGCCCGGUGGAGCCGUCGGCGGCAGGACACAUCGGCGGCUCUGCACCGGUGGUUGGGGCGACACUGUCCUAGCCGCCGUGGCGUCCGCCCCCUCCGGCCUGCCCCCCCUCCCCCUUCUCCUUGAGUUGGCGGCAGGGUUGCGUGGAUUUGAAUGGGGUAUCGCGGGUGAAAGCCCUGCUGUGCCGUUGGCCGGCUUGAUGACGGCGGCGUCUUUCGGCGUCGUUCCCCUCCUUGGAGGCGUUGUUAUAGCGUUGACCCCUUUCUUUUCCUUGCCGUUCUCCGGCGGUGGCGGUGACCACGUCGUGUCCUUCUUGAGGCACCGCUUUGGAGAAGCUUUCUCGUACAAGGAUAUCGUUGGUCUUUGCAUUGGCUUCGAAGCUUUUCAGUCCUAG
Molecule: long non-coding RNA, 696 nt
Filed under: Oryza sativa Indica Group (long-grained rice)
Lineage: Eukaryota; Viridiplantae; Streptophyta; Magnoliopsida; Poales; Poaceae
Description: lncRNA OsMH63_10G015480
Source: RNAcentral